This 253-nucleotide ribosomal RNA is filed under the name uncultured bacterium. RNAcentral describes it as "partial 16S ribosomal RNA". It matches the Rfam family "Bacterial small subunit ribosomal RNA", at positions 524 to 776 of the family's 1533-position model. The record is from RNAcentral.
UACGUAGGGUGCGAGCGUUGUCCGGAAUUAUUGGGCGUAAAGGGCUCGUAGGCGGUUUGUCGCGUCGGGAGUGAAAACAUCCAGCUUAACUGGGUGCUUGCUUUCGAUACGGGCAGACUUGAGGUAUGCAGGGGAGAAUGGAAUUCCUGGUGUAGCGGUGAAAUGCGCAGAUAUCAGGAGGAACACCGGUGGCGAAGGCGGUUCUCUGGGCCGAUACUGACGCUGAGGAGCGAAAGCGUGGGGAGCGAACAGG